CUCACCUUAGCUCAGAUGGAAGAGCGCGACCUUACGAACGUCGAGACCGCAGGUUCGACUCCUGCAGGUGGGU
This 73-nucleotide transfer RNA is filed under the name Janthinobacterium sp. CG23_2. Its description in RNAcentral is "tRNA-Arg-ACG". It matches the Rfam family "tRNA". Rfam says of the family: Transfer RNA (tRNA) molecules are approximately 80 nucleotides in length. Lineage: Bacteria; Pseudomonadati; Pseudomonadota; Betaproteobacteria; Burkholderiales; Oxalobacteraceae. The record is from RNAcentral.